RNAcentral lists this ribosomal RNA (512 nucleotides) under uncultured bacterium. Its description in RNAcentral is "partial 16S ribosomal RNA". It matches the Rfam family "Bacterial small subunit ribosomal RNA", at positions 28 to 523 of the family's 1533-position model. The record is from RNAcentral.
GAUGAACGCUGGCGGCAUGCCUAAUACAUGCAAGUCGAACGAGAGGAAGGAAAGCUUGCAUUUCUGAAUCUAGUGGCGAACGGGUGAGUAACACGUAGGUAACCUGCCCAUGUGCCCGGGAUAACUUCUGGAAACGGAUGCUAAAACCGGUUAGGUAGCAGACAAGCAUUUGACUGCUAUUAAAGUGGCUAAGGCCAUGAACAUGGAUGGACCUGCGGUGCAUUAGCUAGUUGGUGAGGCAACGGCCCACCAAGGCGACGAUGCAUAGCCGGCCUGAGAGGGCGGACGGCCACAUUGGGACUGAGACACGGCCCAAACUCCUACGGGAGGCAGCAGUAGGGAAUUUUCGUCAAUGGGGGGAACCCUGAACGAGCAAUGCCGCGUGAGUGAGGAAGGUCUUCGGAUCGUAAAGCUCUGUUGUAAGAGAAAAACGACAUUCAUAGGGAAUGAUGAGUGAGUGAUGGUAUCUUACCAGAAAGUCACGGCUAACUACGUGCCAGCCGCCGCAGUAA